GCAUGCGCAAUGGGAUGGUGUGUAUUUGAAGAAGACGUCGUCGACGAAGAAUUUUAAGCUCGUGUUCGGGAUGAGGCAGUAAAGUUAGGACUACAGGAGAGUUUCACUGUUGAGCACCCUUGUCGGUUCUGCUUAGCAACGAGGAGUGAAAUCCAGGAGAAGGAGGUCCGGUCGGGAGCAUUUGAACUGAGAACCAAGCAGGAGCAUGACAGGCAUACCAAGUAUGGAGACAACAACUGUACUCCGAGUUAUAAUUUGUGACAACGACAUCCGAAAAAUUGUACUUCCUGUGAAACCACAGACAGUUGACUCACUGUGGAACAACUUGAAGAAAAGCUGGGACUUCAGUACAAGUUAGCACUUCAGUUUGAGGAUCCAGACUUCAACAAUUCCCUCAUGAAUCUUACCAACAUUGCUGACUUGCCAGAUAAGCCUACACUGAAGAUUGUCUCCCUUGUGACGUCACCAACCCCUAGCACAGCUGACACUGAAGUCCUAUCUGUGGCUUCUGAUCAUCCACGUCAUUGUCUACGGACUGCAUGGCCAGAAACUUUCGAGAUCCCUACUUUUCCUGUUGACGUUGAGUAUAGAUUACGUCAG
This is a long non-coding RNA of Carassius carassius (crucian carp), 600 nucleotides long. RefSeq lists it as uncharacterized. The transcript has 3 exons. The record is from RefSeq and is a predicted model, not a curated record. Lineage: Eukaryota; Metazoa; Chordata; Actinopteri; Cypriniformes; Cyprinidae.